This 2427-nucleotide long non-coding RNA is filed under the name Vulpes vulpes (red fox). Its description in RNAcentral is "lncRNA (ENSVVUG00000001433.1)". The record is from RNAcentral. Lineage: Eukaryota; Metazoa; Chordata; Mammalia; Carnivora; Canidae.
CCCUCCCCUCCCCUCCCCUCUCCCCUCCCCAGCUCUUGCACAAACGCGACCCGGACCGCUAAGUGCGUGCCACAGGUCACGAAAAAUGGGAAAUAAAGUUUGAAGCUCCUGGAGCCGUCCUCCCCACCACCACCACCACCACCCGCUCCCCUGCUCGAGGGCUGCAGGGGGCACGACCCGCGCGCUCCUCCCUUCCCUCCAGGGUCGGCCUUCGUGGGAGCUGCCACGCGCUAGGCCUCUGCUGUGGAAUCUGGCUCAGCUGCUGCACCAGCUUCUGCAAGUGCGCGUGUCAGGACCGGGGCGGCGGGCAGAGCCGGUCCUGGCCUCCCGGGGCAGCCCCUCUGCAGGGCCGAGCCGGCCUCCAGGCGACACCUGCCUCCGCAAGGCGUCAAGGCUGCAGCAAGGAGGCCCGCGUGCGUGCGCUAGGGACGGCCUUCCCCUCCCUUGCAGGCCUCCUCUGGGGCCGCCGCCGUGCUCCUUUCCUACCAAAUACAGGUGCUCCUCCUUUCCUACCAGAUGCAAGUGCUCCUUUCCCACCAAAUACAAGUGCUCCUUUCCUACCAGAUGCAAGCGCCUUUCCUACCAGAUGCAACUGCUCCUUUCCUACCAAAUGAAAGUGCUCCUUUCCCACCAGAUGCAAGUGCUCCUUUCCCACCAGAUGCAAGCGCCUUUCCUAUCAGAUGCAAGUGCUCCUUUCCUACCAGAUACAAGUAUCACAAAAGAAUUGGAGUGAUUGAAGUUAUGAUAGACAUUGUUAAGGACCAUGAGAUUACCCCCAGAGAAGCUGACCACCCCACAGUUUCUUCCUUUGGUAUAGUGACCAAAUUCUCCAAACCAAAACUCAGGACACAUGGCUUGCCGCAUACUCAAGAACAAAGGGACAAACCCCAUGAAGCCCUUGAAUAAUAAGCAGCGAAAUGGCCAAAGGCAGACUAGGGGAGCAGAAAAGAAAGGCCGUGAACUAUGUGCAAAACUAAGACCAUGCCAAAAAAAAAAAAAAAAAAACAAAAACAAAAACAAAACCCACAACCCUUAAAUUUUAGAUUUUUUUUUCUAAAAAUCCAUUUUAGAUUUAUUCUCUCUAGAUAACUUCUGGAUGAUAUUUCUUAUUUCUAAACUUAUGCUAACUGCUGGAUGAUAUUUCUCUCCAGAUAACUUCUGGAUGAUAUUUCUGAUUUCUAAACUUAUGUUAAUGGCCUACUUGUGCUGAGCAAUCCCCUGCAAGGUGGUGGGGAGUAACAGCCGAGGAAAACUAGGCCACGAGGAAUUCAGUCUGGCAAGAGUCUAGCGAGCUGGGCAUUGCGUUACAGUGUGGCGUGGCGUGGUAGGGUAGGCCGAGCAAGUGCGGGCCAGGAGCCCCUAUGGCAAUACGGACAGGUUUUCCAGAAGAAGUCACAGCCUAGCAGAUUCUUGAAGGACAGCCAUCCCUGGUGUGUCGUUCCACUUUUCCUCUGGGAAAAUGAUCCAAUCAGAGAAAGACCGGUAGAGGCUCUCCACAGCACCUCGCCUUCGUCCUGCAGAGAUCAUCCAUGAAGCCUCAAGAACUUCAUGUUGGUGGUUCCUGUAGUUCAGGGCGGGAGAUCUUCCGCAGGCACUCACAGGUAAAAACGAGACCACUACCACAUAUCUGGACCAAGAAACCGUCGGUGCCCCCAGCCGAGACGGAGGCGAAUGCAGUCCUGGACUGGAGACGACGCUCAGUAAGCCGGUACUCUUCCGGGACCUGUCUGCACCUGCUCCCCAAAGGGGGCCAUCCCAGUAGAAGCUUCGCUGUUCCUCACCUUUCCACCACGUGGUCACUGCUUCAUUUCCAUGAGGAAUCCCUUCUUUCCAGCUUCACUUAAUCUCAUCGCCCUCCACCACUGCCCUCUUUCCAGGCCACCCUGCUCUACCCUCUUGACACCCACCAACCACCAAAUCUGUCCCUCACGUGGCAUUUCAAUUUCCUUGGCACCUCAAACUAAAGUAUUAGCUCAUUCCUUUAUUAUCCUUCGUAGUGAUAUAUUUAAACCCAAACUUAUUGCCCCCAAAUGACUUCAGGUCCCUCCAUUCCUAAAUGUUGUGAAGCUAAAAUGGUUUUACAUGGAAAACAUUUUAAACAAGUCACCGCAUUCAUUCUUCAGAGGUCUUUCAAGGCAUCCUAUCACGUCUCAGUGAAGGUCAUGUAAAGCCUCUCUCACUGGACUCUUAAUUCUAGGAAACAAACAGGGUGGCGGCGGGAGGGGAGGUAGGUAGGGGUGAUGGGGUUUUGGGGUGAGGGCCAUGAAGAAGGGCACGUGACGUAAGGAGCCUGGGUGUUGCGUGCAACUGAGGAAUCCCUAAAUUCCACCCCCGAAACUAAAAAUACGAUGUAUGUAUGUUAACUAAAUUGAAUUUAAAUUAAAAUUUAAAGAAAAUAAAUAAAAAGUAAAAAUAAAACCUCUCUCA